This 507-nucleotide ribosomal RNA is filed under the name uncultured soil bacterium. Its description in RNAcentral is "bacterial SSU rRNA". It matches the Rfam family "Bacterial small subunit ribosomal RNA", at positions 26 to 523 of the family's 1533-position model. The record is from RNAcentral.
AGAUUGAACGCUGGCGGAAUGCUUUACACAUGCAAGUCGAACGGCAGCACGGGGGUAACCCUGGUGGCGAGUGGCGAACGGGUGAGUAAUACAUCGGAACGUGCCCAGUCGUGGGGGAUAACGUAGCGAAAGCUACGCUAAUACCGCAUACGAACUCUGGUUGAAAGCGGGGGACUCGCAAGAGCCUCGCGCGAUUGGAGCGGCCGAUGGCAGAUUAGGUAGUUGGUGGGGUAAAGGCUCACCAAGCCUGCGAUCUGUAGCUGGUCUGAGAGGACGACCAGCCACACUGGGACUGAGACACGGCCCAGACUCCUACGGGAGGCAGCAGUGGGGAAUUUUUGGACAAUGGGCGAAAGCCUGAUCCAGCCAUGCCGCGUGUGUGAAGAAGGUCUUCGGAUUGUAAAGCACUUUAAGUUGGAGGAAGGUUGUAACUUAAGUACGUUGCUAACUUUGACGUUUACCGACUAGAAUAAGCACCGGCUAACUUCGUGCCAGCAGCCGCGGUAA